UACGGGGGGAGCAAGCGUUGUUCGGAUUUACUGGGCGUAAAGGGCGCGUAGGCGGCCAGCACAAGUCGGUUGUGAAAUCUCCGGGCUUAACCCGGAAAGGUCAGCCGAUACUGCGGGGCUAGAGUGCAGAAGGGGCAACUGGAAUUCUCGGUGUAGCGGUGAAAUGCGUAGAUAUCGAGAGGAACACCUGCGGCGAGGGCGGGUUGCUGGGCUGACACUGACGCUGAGGCGCGAAAGCUAGGGGAGCGAACGGG
Molecule: ribosomal RNA, 254 nt
Filed under: uncultured bacterium
Lineage: Bacteria
Description: partial 16S ribosomal RNA
Rfam family: Bacterial small subunit ribosomal RNA
Source: RNAcentral